AGGCGCGCUGUUGCACCGUACCACAGCAUCAACGGGCUUCUAGUGGCUUUUGUCUAAACUGCACAUUGGUGCUUCUUCUUAACUCUACCCCGUUUCAAGAUACAAGCUCUACAGCCGCGAGGCACUUCUAAGGCAAGAUUCUCUGGACUCUGUUAUUCGCUAUGCAAGGUCUACAUGACUCUCCUCUUCUUUUCCCGUUACACAAGCCUCUUUUGCAUGCACAGAUUGAGGGCAUCUAGAUUUGUUUCCAAACGAUGGAGCCGAACAUCGUGACGGAAGAAGAGCAUCUCAUGUAGCUGCUCUCCGCCUCGACUAGUGUACUUGCGUUACAAGACCAUGAUCGCGUCUUCUGAUGGCUUGAGAGCGUUCAAAUACUAUUGAAAAACACAACACUGCCCAUUCCGAGUGAGAUGGUGCUUGACCACUCAGCCCUUUGCGAUGCUCGCUCGCUCCCCCUGGGUAGCAAUCUCUCGCGCCUUGUCAUUUCAGCCACUCUGCUCCCUGAAUUGAACAGCUUGCUCGCUACUAGUGCUCUCACUUGCUCGUGUGACCUGAGAUCGAGGCAACUCCCCCAGCAUUCACAUCUUUUUCACACGAGGGUGGAUGCUUGACUACUAGAAUGUGUGCAUAGGCCGGCGUCCCUGGAGGGGCUACAGUAGGUCGGACGCAUCAAGGAGCGGGACUCCAGCACUUUCACAUGCUCCUGCUCUCCUCAUCCCAUCUCCGCCUUCAGCUGCUGCAUCCCCCUUUUCUCUGCUUCUCCGAAAUGCGUGCCGUACCACCGCCUCAAG
RNAcentral lists this unclassified non-coding RNA (791 nucleotides) under Leishmania donovani. RNAcentral describes it as "gene:unknown". Lineage: Eukaryota; Euglenozoa; Kinetoplastea; Trypanosomatida; Trypanosomatidae. The record is from RNAcentral.